CUGCCCAGCACCUCCAGAAGUGGGCAAAGCAAUCCCAGAAGUAGGAGUCUUGAAGCAGGCUGAUAUUGAAACACCAAUAAGGCACCUGCAUUCAGGCUCUCCUG
Molecule: long non-coding RNA, 104 nt
Organism: Gavialis gangeticus (Gharial)
Lineage: Eukaryota; Metazoa; Chordata; Crocodylia; Gavialidae
Exons: 3
Source: RefSeq, a predicted model, not a curated record